CCUACGGGAGGCAGCAGUGGGGAAUAUUGCACAAUGGGGGGAACCCUGAUGCAGCGACGCCGCGUGAGUGAAGAAGUAUUUCGGUAUGGAAAGCUCUAUCAGCAGGGAAGAAAAUGACGGUACCUGACUAAGAAGCCCCGGGUAACUACGUGCCAGCAGCCGCGGUAAUACGUAGGGGGCAAGCGUUAUCCGGAUUUACUGGGUGUAAAGGGAGUGCAGACGGCUGUGCAAGUCUGGAGGGAAAGGCUGGGGCCCAACCCCCGGAUUGCCUUGGAUACUGUGCGGCUGGAGUGCAGGCGGGGUAAGCGGAAUAACUAGAGUAGCGGUGAAAUGCGUAGAUAUUAGGAGGAACACCGGUGGCGAAGGCGGCUUACUGGACUGUAACUGACGCUGAGGCUCGAAAGCGUGGGGAGCAAACAGGAUUAGAUACCCGUGUAGUC
RNAcentral lists this ribosomal RNA (440 nucleotides) under uncultured bacterium. RNAcentral describes it as "partial 16S ribosomal RNA". It matches the Rfam family "Bacterial small subunit ribosomal RNA", at positions 338 to 795 of the family's 1533-position model. The record is from RNAcentral.